This 821-nucleotide ribosomal RNA is filed under the name uncultured Prochlorococcus sp. RNAcentral describes it as "bacterial SSU rRNA". It matches the Rfam family "Bacterial small subunit ribosomal RNA", at positions 682 to 1501 of the family's 1533-position model. Lineage: Bacteria; Bacillati; Cyanobacteriota; Cyanophyceae; Synechococcales; Prochlorococcaceae. The record is from RNAcentral.
UGAAAUGCGUAGAUAUCGGGAAGAACACCAGUGGCGAAGGCGCUCUGCUGGGGCCAUUACUGACGCUCAUGGACGAAAGCCAGGGGAGCGAAAGGGAUUAGAUACCCCUGUAGUCCUGGCCGUAAACGAUGAACACUAGGUGUCGGGGGAAUCGACCCCUUCGGUGUCGUAGCUAACGCGUUAAGUGUUCCGCCUGGGGAGUACGCACGCAAGUGUGAAACUCAAAGGAAUUGACGGGGGCCCGCACAAGCGGUGGAGUAUGUGGUUUAAUUCGAUGCAACGCGAAGAACCUUACCAGGGUUUGACAUCCUGCGAACCUCUUAGAAAUUUGAGGGUGCCUUCGGGAAUGCAGUGACAGGUGGUGCAUGGCUGUCGUCAGCUCGUGUCGUGAGAUGUUGGGUUAAGUCCCGCAACGAGCGCAACCCACGUUUUUAGUUGCCAGCAUUUAGUUGGGCACUCUAGAAAGACCGCCGGUGAUAAACCGGAGGAAGGUGUGGAUGACGUCAAGUCAUCAUGCCCCUUACACCCUGGGCUACACACGUACUACAAUGCUACGGACAAAGGGCAGCAAACUCGCGAGAGCUAGCAAAUCCCAUAAACCGUGGCUCAGUUCAGAUCGUAGGCUGCAACUCGCCUACGUGAAGUAGGAAUCGCUAGUAAUCGCAGGUCAGCAUACUGCGGUGAAUACGUUCCCGGGCCUUGUACACACCGCCCGUCACACCAUGGAAGUUGGCCACGCCCGAAGCCGUUACUCCAACCCUUGUGGAGGAGGACGUCGAAGGUGGGGCUGAUGACUGGGGUGAAGUCGUAACAAGGUAACC